UGGUGCUCCACAGUAAAACACCCCUGCCAUUAGAGAAGAGACAAGUUAUUACUAUUGUUUUUUGUUUCUUCUUUUCUAAAGAUAUAAAUAAAGAAUAAAAGGAGUAUAUACAGGAUCUGAUUUCUUAUCAUCAGAAAGAGCAUCGGUAUACUAUUUCUACCAUUUCUCCAAUAUCGAUCCGUUCCUUUCUGGAGUAUAUGCCCUUCAUCUUUUUCCAAAGAAAGAAAAGAAAGAAAGCUAGCUCUCAAUUUGAGGCAAAAAGCUUUCAUAACAGACAGUGGGGCAAGCAAGUGAUGAUUAAUUCUUGAGUCAUCAUCAGGAAAAAAGCACUAGCACCCACUAUUAUUUUAUCCGUUUAUAGUUCAUAGGAAUUUUUUAACUUGGAUAAUGCAGAAAAGGCUCUGAGAGUGAAGACAUGAAAUAGCAUUGGAAUAAUUUAUGUGCUAAGUUAGGUAAAAUAACACAAGAAAAGGGCUUACCAACUCGAGAAUUGGGGUG
This 498-nucleotide unclassified non-coding RNA is filed under the name Hevea brasiliensis (rubber tree). The record is from RNAcentral. Lineage: Eukaryota; Viridiplantae; Streptophyta; Magnoliopsida; Malpighiales; Euphorbiaceae.